AGAACGAACGCUGGCGGCAUGCCUAAUACAUGCAAGUCGAACGAACACUUCGGUGUUAGUGGCGCACGGGUGCGUAACGCGUGGGAAUCUGCCCUUGGGUUCGGAAUAACAGUUGGAAACGACUGCUAAUACCGGAUGAUAUCGAAAGAUCAAAGAUUUAUCGCCCAGGGAUGAGCCCGCGUAGGAUUAGCUAGUUGGUGAGGUAAAGGCUCACCAAGGCGACGAUCCUUAGCUGGUCUGAGAGGAUGAUCAGCCACACUGGGACUGAGACACGGCCCAGACUCCUACGGGAGGCAGCAGUAGGGAAUAUUGGACAAUGGGCGCAAGCCUGAUCCAAGCAAUGCCGCGUGAGUGAUGAAGGCCUUAGGGUUGUAAAGCUCUUUUACCCGAGAUGAUAAUGACAGUAUCGGAAGAAUAAGCCCCGGCUAAACUCCGUAGCCAGCAGCCGC
This 449-nucleotide ribosomal RNA is filed under the name uncultured soil bacterium. Its description in RNAcentral is "bacterial SSU rRNA". It matches the Rfam family "Bacterial small subunit ribosomal RNA", at positions 26 to 518 of the family's 1533-position model. The record is from RNAcentral.